GUCGAGCGGUAAGGCCUUUCGGGGUACACGAGCGGCGAACGGGUGAGYMACACGUGGGUGAUCUGCCCUGNACUCUGGGAUAAGCUUGGGAAACUGGGUCUAAUACCGGAUAUGACURCAKSMUGSAUGKGKUGUGGUGGAAAGAUUUAUCGGUGCAGGAUGGGCCCGCGGCCUAUCAGCUUGUUGGUGGGGUAAUGGCCUACCAAGGCGACGACGGGUAGCCGACCUGAGAGGDWRAMMGGCCAYACUGGGACUGAGACACRRNMNANACUCCUACGGGAGGCAGCAGUGGGGAAUAUUGCACAAUGGGCGGAAGCCUGAUGCAGCGACGCCGCGUGAGGGAUGAAGGCCUUCGGGUUGUAAACCUCUUUCAGCAGGGACGAAGCGUGAGUGACGGUACCUGCAGAAGAAGCACCGGCUAACUACGUGCCAGCAGCCGCGGUAAUACGUAGGGUGCGAGCGUUGUCCGGAAUUACUGGGCGUAAAGAGNUCGUAGGCGGUUUGUCGCGUCGUUUUGUGAAAACCCGGGGCUCAACUUCGGGCUUGCAGGCGAUACGGGCAGACUUGAGUGUUUCAGGGGAGACUGNAAUUCCUGGUGUAGCGGUGAAAUGCGCAGAUAUCAGGAGGAACACCGGUGGCGAAGGSGGGUCUYUGGGAA
This 658-nucleotide ribosomal RNA is filed under the name bacterium GD127SAN0%. RNAcentral describes it as "partial 16S ribosomal RNA". It matches the Rfam family "Bacterial small subunit ribosomal RNA", at positions 61 to 735 of the family's 1533-position model. The record is from RNAcentral.